Patella vulgata (common limpet) is the source of this 2755-nucleotide RNA transcript. It is a transcript of the gene named outer dense fiber protein 3, with no coding region annotated. The record is from RefSeq and is a predicted model, not a curated record. The transcript has 6 exons. Lineage: Eukaryota; Metazoa; Mollusca; Gastropoda; Patellidae.
UAGAUGUAAUGGUCGUUAUGUUUAUCGAGGUAUCCAACGAGUUAUAAUAGCUUGAUAACAACAUAUUGUCACACCAACAACUGUCGAAGAAAGUCUGUUUGCAACAGCACGGUGUUUAAUUAACACGCCAAAAAAAACCUUUCAAGAUGACUGAUAUACCAGCACGGACAAUACCAAGGGGCCCCAUAGCUGCCAUGUACAACAGUCCUGGGCCACAAUAUGGUUUACCAGGCCUUGUUGGUGAAAUAAACCAUGACCCCCGUAGUGUGCACACUAAGAAACCAGCUUAUUCCUUUGGUUUAAAGCAUGGAAAAUACAGGGAUGACUGUGGACCUGGACCUUCAUAUUUACUAAGUAACAGAGUAUUCAGAGAUGGUCUGGUUGGAACUCCUUCUUAUUCCUUAUAUGGUAGACAUAGAGACCAGUCAUCGUAUAAAACCCCCGGACCAGGAACUUAUAAACCAAGUAGUUUAGCUGACGGUUCCAAACCCGCUCCUCCUAGUUAUUCUUUCGGUUCAAGACACAGAAACCGCCAAACAGAUAAUUGCCCAGGACCAAAUGCAUAUAAUCUUCCAACAAUGAUAGGACCUUGCAAACAGGGUGGAAAAUCUGAGGCACCAAUGUAUUCAUUAACAGGGCGUAGUAAAAUAGGCAGUUUUCAUGAAGAUCUACAAAAGACACCAGGUCCCAGUCAUUAUCCAGUGGUAAAUACAGGUGUUUAUAAAAAUAAACCACCAGGUUAUAGCAUGACGAGUAGAAAUGCAAUGCCAGGUGAUUCAACAACUAAACCAGGACCAGGAGUUUACAGUCCAGAAAAUAUAUGGGUCCACAGGAAACAACAACCCAGAUUUUCGUUUGGUAUUCGUCACAGCCCGUAUACAGCACCACUCAUUGUAGAUGUACAGGAUUAAUGAGGAUAACCCUUGAUAAAACUAUUAAUGUAUUACUAAACCAAUAGUCCAUCAUCUUACCUUGAUUCCUACGCAUUUGUGUCCUUCAGUGUUUCCUUCUCCUUAACUACUCAAUAUUAAAUGAUAAUUUGUUUUUUUACAAUUUUCUUUAAUUUCUUGUUAUUUUCUUUAUUGAUUUGCAGAUAUGUAUUUUAAUCUUUAAAUCUUGUUGAAAUGUAUAGAAGUGUUAAUUUUUUAUAUAAAUUUUUUUAAUGAUUGUGUCUUAUCGAGCUAUACCAUAACAGCAUUAUUUUAACAUGAACCUUUCUGAUACCUGAAAAUACUAAUAUAUAUAAGUUAUAUCAUUGAUGGUUGUUUUUGUUAAAUUGAAUGUGAUAGUUCAUUAAUUAUUAUCAAUCUGAUUAAAGCCGAUGUUUAGGGUUUUGUAGGAUUCGUGGGGGUGGGGGUGUCUACUAUAUUGCCAUUUGACAUAUAUUCUUUGAAGCCAUUGUCCAGACCACAUACACUCAUUGUCUGUAUUGGUAUGCAGGUCUGCAACUUGAAGUUAAUUCUGGGAAUUUCAACAUUCAAAGAUAUGAGCAUGACUUUAAGGUUAAAGUAUGAUUGGCUUGUUGCAAAUAUAUCACUAUGUUUUAAUUAACAAUUAACACACUAAUAUUGAAAAUGCAUGGGUGCAGGGUAUAUUUAAUUAUAAAGCAUAAUUUUUUUUAUUUAGAUAUUAAGUAAAGAGUUGUGCGGUUAAUUUCAAAUAGAUCUAAGUAAAACUAAAACAUAACUAAAGUAUAUGUACAUAUAGCUUUAAUAUUUUGUGAAUUUAGCAAAAUUAUGUUGGCAUUUGUUAGAAGUAUUUAUACUAUAUGCAAGCACAAUACUAUAACUGUAAUAUUAAUCCUUUAGAAUAUGAUGACAAUUAGUGCUAAUAACUUUUUCUGAAUAGGUUCAGCUUUUAGGACACACCAAUUUUGUUUUUUGUUUCACAGGCCUGCUAUUGUUAAUAUUCACAGAAUUAAAACAAAAAUAAAACUGAAAUUUUCACAAUUGGAAUAUUCUGGCAGUUGUAUUUCAUCCAGAAUAAGUAGAAAUAGUACUACAGUGCGAAAUCUGUGGAAUACAAGUUUUUAAUGAUUGAAAUAAUAGUUUAAAUUGUUAUUUUUGCUACCAAUAAUAUAAAAAAAAAUGAGAAAACGAAAAUCAAAGAACUAAAACAUCACAGUAUUUUGUUCACUUAUCCUUUAAGACCUAUACUGCAUAUUUGAAAUAAUUUUGAUUGUCACUCCUGAAUACACAAAAUUAAUUUUGUGUGGCCUUAGGUAUUAGAUGGGGAUGGAAGAGCAUGCCAAAAUAUCUCUAUUUGGAAACAUUAAGUGUCUUCUUUUUUCUAGCUAAAUAUAAAUCACAGGAUAAAUAGCUGUCUCAAAUUUUGAUAUGAAGCGGGUUAUAGAUCAAUACUCACCACAUUUACAUCUAUUUAAGCCAAAGAGUAUCAUUUAUAGUACUAUAGACGCUAUUUAUGUACAUGUAUUGAAUAAGUGGUAUCAGUUACAGCUAAUACUUGAUUCAUUUUAAGAUGCAGAGCUUCAUUUCUAUAACAUUGCUAAAUGUUUUUAAGCUAAAAGAUUCUUCAAUCAGUAUUAUUGUACAUGUUCUAGCCCCAAAAUAAUUAUAAUUUUAUAUACAUAUAUUGUAAUAUUUGGAAGGCUUAUAAUAUAUAUAUAUAUUGUUCAGUAAUCCUAUAUUUUAUAUAAUAUCUUUAGCCAACUUGUAGAUAUAUAAAUAUACAAUUUGCUAGAAUAUAUAGUUAUAUGUGUGUGAAUUAAUCUUUGAUAAAACUAUACAAAAUAAUA